GCCAGUGUGGUAUAGUGGUUUGAGUGUUGGAUUAUGACUCUGGAGACCAGGGUUCCAAUCCUUGCUUGGCC
Molecule: transfer RNA, 71 nt
Filed under: Phrynosoma platyrhinos (Desert horned lizard)
Lineage: Eukaryota; Metazoa; Chordata; Lepidosauria; Squamata; Phrynosomatidae
Description: tRNA-OTHER
Source: RNAcentral